This 194-nucleotide unclassified non-coding RNA is filed under the name fungal sp. RNAcentral's name for it is "partial internal transcribed spacer region". The stretch from base 1 to 46 matches the Rfam family "Eukaryotic small subunit ribosomal RNA", at positions 1786 to 1831 of the family's 1831-position model. Lineage: Eukaryota; Fungi. The record is from RNAcentral.
AAGUCGUAACAAGGUAUCCGUAGGUGAACCUGCGGAUGGAUCAUUAAAAUAGUGGAAGCUUAGCUUCAAAAACACUUAUACAACUUGUGCACUGUGUGGAUAUGGCCUAGGCCUGUCCAUAUUUUUUUACUAAUUAAAUUGAUUUUAGUACACUUAACAAUGUAAAACUUUUAGCAACGGAUCUCUAGGCUCUC